AGUGAACGCUGGCGGUAGGCCUAACACAUGCAAGUCGAACGGCAGCACAGUAAGAGCUUGCUCUUACGGGUGGCGAGUGGCGGACGGGUGAGGAAUACAUCGGAAUCUACUUUUUCUUGGGUGAUAACGUAGGGAAACUUACGCUAAUACCGCAUACGACCUACGGGUGAAAGCAGGGGAUCUUCGGACCUUGCGCGAUUGAAUGAGCCGAUGUCGGAUUAGCUAGUUGGCGGGGUAAAGGCCCACCAAGGCGACGAUCCGUAGCUGGUCUGAGAGGAUGAUCAGCCACACUGGAACUGAGACACGGUCCAGACUCCUACGGGAGGCAGCAGUGGGGAAUAUUGGACAAUGGGCGAAAGCCUGAUCCAGCCAUACCGCGUGGGUGAAGAAGGCCUUCGGGUUGUAAAGCCCUUUUGUUGGGAAAGAAAAGCAGCAGGUUAAUACCCCGCUGUUCUGACGGUACCAAAAGAAUAAGCACCGGCUAACUUCGUG
RNAcentral lists this ribosomal RNA (492 nucleotides) under uncultured bacterium. RNAcentral's name for it is "partial 16S ribosomal RNA". It matches the Rfam family "Bacterial small subunit ribosomal RNA", at positions 29 to 507 of the family's 1533-position model. The record is from RNAcentral.